Long non-coding RNA from Pseudophryne corroboree (corroboree frog), 507 nucleotides. RefSeq lists it as uncharacterized. The transcript has 4 exons. The record is from RefSeq and is a predicted model, not a curated record. NCBI's taxonomy places the organism in Eukaryota, Metazoa, Chordata, Amphibia, Anura, Myobatrachidae.
UAGACUGCACACAGGAGCUUGAAUAAACCUCAGGCAUACAAACCGUUAACAACUGGUCAGAGAACAUUGCUGCAAUCUGGAUUAUGUGCACCUGUGCAAUCAGCCUGGGAAGGGGCUGCAGUUUGGAAACUAGUAUGCACAGCAAACACUGGAGUCAGAGUGAAGCAAGGUUGAGCAGACUCUGGGAUAAUGCAGAAUAUCCUGGCCUGCCAGGCACCAGAGCCCUCCUAUCAGAGGAUCCGACGGACCUCCCGUCGCACCUGCAGUGACACUGUUAACUGUUAGGACCUUCCAAUCGUCUGCAAGCCAAAGAAGAAUUUUUUCUCUUCAUUACUUUGUUUUGAGGAAAACAAACUUGAUCAACAAUGCCUCACCACCAAAGACUAGGAAGACCAUUUUGAUCCUACAUACCAUCAUCUGAUAAACCAUGGAUUCCUCUGUAUCCCUCCAUCUUCUGUUCCGUGACCCUGUCUCCCAAAACCUUGUCCAACAUGACUAAAAAGGAAG